UUAAUUUUAAAAAAUAAGUAUAAACUUAGGAUGUUUAGGUUAAUUAAUUUAUAAAAAUUUUAUUUUUAGUAACUACAUAAUAUAUUUGGAGAUUUAAUUAGUUGAAUUAGCAAUUAUAUUUUAAUUAGUUUAUUUAUUUAAUGACUGAUUAUGAUUAAAUAUUUUAAUUAACUUCAUGAAUUAUAUUACUUAAUGAAUAGUAAUUCAAUUUUCUCUUCUUCUUUUUCUCCUUUACUAAUCAAAGUAAUUAAAAAAGUGAAAUACAUACCAUGCUACUUAAAGGGUGUAGCCUACCUUUUCAUUAAAAAAAAAAAAAAAAUUUAAAAAAUUUAAAAAAUUAAAAAAAAAAAAAAAAAAACUGAGUAUAGCCGUGCGGCUAUACUAUUUUU
RNAcentral lists this long non-coding RNA (389 nucleotides) under Prunus persica (peach). RNAcentral's name for it is "long non-coding RNA (PPER_LNC008800)". Lineage: Eukaryota; Viridiplantae; Streptophyta; Magnoliopsida; Rosales; Rosaceae. The record is from RNAcentral.